RNAcentral lists this unclassified non-coding RNA (329 nucleotides) under soil metagenome. RNAcentral describes it as "partial contains 5.8S ribosomal RNA, internal transcribed spacer 2, and large subunit ribosomal RNA". The stretch from base 1 to 120 matches the Rfam family "5.8S ribosomal RNA", at positions 35 to 154 of the family's 154-position model. The record is from RNAcentral.
GAUGAAGAACGCAGCGAAAUGCGAUAAGUAAUGUGAAUUGCAGAAUUCAGUGAAUCAUCGAAUCUUUGAACGCACAUUGCGCCCGCCAGCAUUCUGGCGGGCAUGCCUGUUCGAGCGUCAUUAUAACCCCUCAAGCUCAGCUUGGUGUUGGGGCCUGCUGCACUGGCAGCCCUUAAAAUCAGUGGCGGCGCCAUCUGGCUCUAAGCGUAGUAAUUCUUCUCGCUAUGGAGUCCUGGUGGAUGCUUGCCAUCAACCCCCAAUUUUUCUAUGGUUGACCUCGGAUCAGGUAGGGAUACCCGCUGAACUUAAGCAUAUCAAUAAGCGGAGGA